Molecule: transfer RNA, 72 nt
Filed under: Marmota monax (woodchuck)
Lineage: Eukaryota; Metazoa; Chordata; Mammalia; Rodentia; Sciuridae
Description: tRNA.Val
Source: RNAcentral
GGAAGUGUAGCUCAGUGGUAGAGCAUAUUCAUAACAUGUACAAGGCCCUAGAUUCAAACCCUAAUACUGCAA